Molecule: long non-coding RNA, 624 nt
Filed under: Hermetia illucens (black soldier fly)
Lineage: Eukaryota; Metazoa; Arthropoda; Insecta; Diptera; Stratiomyidae
Description: uncharacterized LOC119652728, transcript variant X1
Source: RNAcentral
AUCAAUUUCUUUGCGGGGACCUUACCUGAAAAGCACGCAGAAAAUUUUAAGCUCUCCUAAAUAAAUAAUAAAAUCUCCCGGUGGAAGUCUCAUAGCCCAUUGAGGUCGAAAUGGAACCCAAUGCGCUAUGCAAAAGAUCAUUUGACAUUGCAAAAAUGUCCGGCCCAUGGCUGAAUUCUAUAGUUGAACCCGGUGGCCGUUCGACAACUAAACCCCUAAACUUUUCAAUAAUGAAACUCUAUUUGACCAUUGGAGGUUCCCGCAAUAAAAGGAGUUCGUUUUUCUAGCCGAAAUUGCAAAACAUUCAGUGAAGGCUAGGAUUCGUAGGCAUUUGGGGCUGAAUUACAAUGAUGACUGAUGAUGCGAUGCAAGGCAUGAAUUUAUUCUGGCGCAACAAAAAAGAGGAAUGCCUGUUAAGUAUUUAACACUAUUUAGACAGCUCUAACCGAUGUUGGAAUUACAAAUAAUUCGAGUCUUCUUCACUAAAAUAUGUUGCGCAGAUUUAUUUAUUCUUGAAACAAACAGCUCAAAAUAAGCCAGUAAUAAAGUUUGUUUUUCAUAUAUAAACUGUAUGUUUCAAAUAUUGCAAAUAAAACAGUAUUAAUUAGAUAUAAUUUAGUGAAU